GCAGCGCCUGAGCCCGCCGGGCCGCCCCCCCGCCGCCGGGCACCCAAGGGUUAAUGGCGGCAGCAGCACCGAGCUGGGCCGCUCGCUACGGAGCCAUAUUACCGCAGUGCUGAGGGGCGGGCAAGGAGGGGGCGGGAGCUCGUGGCCUGCGCGCUCGCUCAUUGGUCAGCGCUCCAGCGAGGCGGGAGGCCGGGAGAGUCUUUGAGUCGUGAUAGGCUAAAAGCAACGUCAAUCAGCACCUCUCUCCUCUGCCUCUGUCAAACCGUUGGAACGGGACCCGGCGCCGAUUGGCGCGCCGACUUCCGGUAGGAGGGACGGCACCGGAAAGAGAGGUUGCUGAUUGGAAGACGACGGUUUUGAUUGACGUUGCUCGCACUCCGUCACGUGGUGGAGGGAGCUGUUUAUAUCACGUGCACACCAGGAUUUGCCACCGCACCGCUCCACCAGGAACGCCCGUCCCACCGUCCCAACAGCAGCACUGGGAACGCCUGUCCCCAGCACACUGCAGCACUGGAAAUGCCAGUUCCCACCAGCCCAAGGGCUGAAGCACUGGAAACUCCUGUCCUGUCCUCCACGUGGCCCCAUGCAGCCUCCAGCAGGGCCACGGGUGCUGGUGAGGUUGUCCUCAGCAGGAAGACCUUCCCCAUUGGAAGGCGCCUUCAUUUACCUCUAUCACUGGGGACUGUGAAAUAUUGAUGCUACGCUGGCGUAUGUUGUACCAAUGUUGUACUUAGCAUGCAUGGUGAACCCAUGCAUUAAAAAUAAA
This is a non-coding RNA of Meleagris gallopavo (turkey), 766 nucleotides long. Lineage: Eukaryota; Metazoa; Chordata; Aves; Galliformes; Phasianidae. The record is from RefSeq and is a predicted model, not a curated record.